UACGAAGGGGGCUAGCGUUGCUCGGAAUCACUGGGCGUAAAGCGCACGUAGGCGGCUUCUUAAGUCAGGGGUGAAAUCCUGGAGCUCAACUCCAGAACUGCCUUUGAUACUGAGUAGCUUGAGUCCGGGAGAGGUGAGUGGAACUGCGAGUGUAGAGGUGAAAUUCGUAGAUAUUCGCAAGAACACCAGUGGCGAAGGCGGCUCACUGGCCCGGUACUGACGCUGAGGUGCGAAAGCCAGGGGAGCAAACGGG
Molecule: ribosomal RNA, 253 nt
Filed under: uncultured bacterium
Lineage: Bacteria
Description: partial 16S ribosomal RNA
Rfam family: Bacterial small subunit ribosomal RNA
Source: RNAcentral